RNAcentral lists this ribosomal RNA (415 nucleotides) under uncultured prokaryote. RNAcentral describes it as "bacterial SSU rRNA". It matches the Rfam family "Bacterial small subunit ribosomal RNA", at positions 505 to 918 of the family's 1533-position model. The record is from RNAcentral.
GUGUCAGCCGCCGCGGUAAUACGAAGGGUGCAAGCGUUACUCGGAAUUACUGGGCGUAAAGCGUGCGUAGGUGGUUUGUUAAGUCUGAUGUGAAAGCCCUGGGCUCAACCUGGGAACUGCAUUGGAUACUGGCAAGCUAGAGUGCGGUAGAGGGUGGUGGAAUUCCCGGUGUAGCAGUGAAAUGCGUAGAGAUCGGGAGGAACAUCUGUGGCGAAGGCGACCGCCUGGACCAGCACUGACACUGAGGCACGAAAGCGUGGGGAGCAAACAGGAUUAGAUACCCUGGUAGUCCACGCCCUAAACGAUGCGAACUGGAUGUUGGGUUCAACUAGGAACUCAGUAUCGAAGCUAACGCGUUAAGUUCGCCGCCUGGGGAGUACGGUCGCAAGACUGAAACUCAAAGGAAUUGACGGGG